RNAcentral lists this small RNA (28 nucleotides) under Bombyx mori (domestic silkworm). Its description in RNAcentral is "ovarian small RNA-34193". The record is from RNAcentral. Lineage: Eukaryota; Metazoa; Arthropoda; Insecta; Lepidoptera; Bombycidae.
UGCUCUCCUACCGCCUUACGCAGGUCCU